Ciona intestinalis (vase tunicate) is the source of this 346-nucleotide non-coding RNA. The record is from RefSeq and is a predicted model, not a curated record. Lineage: Eukaryota; Metazoa; Chordata; Ascidiacea; Phlebobranchia; Cionidae.
ACGCCCGCCCACCCAUCUUGUCGUGGAUAUUGUAACCGCAAUGUGCCUUCACAUUACGACUGCGAGUGUAGAUCAAGCUGCUACCGAUACCACAACUGUUGCCAUGACUACCGUGACAUUUGCACUUAAAGAGACACUACAGAAUGGAUUGGUGUUGUGAUUCGUAGUUGUAGUGAUUGUAUUCCAAAUAAAAUAUAACCAUGCAUACAUAAAACUUGGUAUUUGUGAUUCUUAUGCUGUGAGGUUUUGCUUAGAUAUCUUUAUCAGUGAAAGUUAUUUGGAAUUCGAAUUUGCUUCGGCAUAAAACACGGAUCAAAAUAAUUCGGCAUAAUAUCUUUAGUUCUUG